Molecule: ribosomal RNA, 501 nt
Filed under: uncultured bacterium
Lineage: Bacteria
Description: partial 16S ribosomal RNA
Rfam family: Bacterial small subunit ribosomal RNA
Source: RNAcentral
AUUGAACGCUGGCGGCAUGACUUACACAUGCAAGUCGAACGGCAGCACGGGUGCUUGCACCUGGUGGCGAGUGGCGAACGGGUGAGUAAUACAUCGGAACGUACCUUAUCGUGGGGGAUAACGCAGCGAAAGCUGUGCUAAUACCGCAUUAGCCCUGAGGGGGAUAGCGGGGGAUCGAAAGACCUCGCGCGAUUAGAGCGGCCGAUGCCUGAUUAGCUUGUUGGUGGGGUAAAAGCCGACCAAGGCGACGAUCAGUAGCUGGUCUGAGAGGACGAGCGGCCACACUGAGACUGAGACGAGGCGCAGACUCCGACGGGAGGCAGCGGUGGGGAAUUUUGUACAAUGGGGGCAACCCUGGUCCAGCAAUGCCGCGUGAGUGAAGAAGGCCUUCGGGUUGUAAAGCUCUUUUCUCAGGGAAGAAACACCGGCUCUAACACAGUCCGGGAAUUACGGUACCUGAAGAAUAAGCACCGGCUAACUACGUGCCAGCAGCCGCCGUAA